RNAcentral lists this microRNA (23 nucleotides) under Pristionchus pacificus. Its description in RNAcentral is "ppc-miR-8269-5p". The record is from miRBase by way of RNAcentral. Lineage: Eukaryota; Metazoa; Nematoda; Chromadorea; Rhabditida; Neodiplogasteridae.
GUGAGCAAGCAGGCGAAACAUGA